UAAAACUUUACUGUAAAUUUACAGGAAAUUUCUAACAGUAUUAUACUGUAUUUUCAUAAAACAGUAACAUGCUGUAUAUUUUACAGAAUGUCUGUAAAUAUACAGUAGUUUUCUGUUUUCAGCCCGUUUCACUCGUAAUACAGUAUAAUACUGUAGAAGCAUUGCAUUAUGGGAUUGAUUUUUUUUUUUACCGCGCUCAUUUCAAAUUUCUAGGCCAGGCAUACAUUUUAGCUUCUUUCCCAACGCUUUUAGUGUUUCACGUCGACUCUUCAGGGUUUAAUGUUAUCAUUAAACGAUAUUUGAGUGAAUAUAGUGUGCAGUUUUAAGCUUUUGAAGCGUCAGUUUGCCUGAGACGCGGGAUGACUGGACAGCUGCUGAGAAGACGGAGAUGUUAUUUUCCGCCUGAUUAAUCAAAACGUUUGCCUGUGUCGAGAAGACGGAUAAACAAUUUUCGGCUGAGAAUAUGGUAAGUCAGUCUUUUCUGGAGCUUUUCCUUCGCGUUUCUAUUUUGUCAUGAAUGGUUUGAUCUUGAAAUGUUAAACUUCUCACGAGCAAACGGUUAACGUUACUCUGUUCUCAGCGCUUCAUGCAGUAACACUGAUGUUUCAUCUUAUAGACAACCUUAGCAUAUGUUAUUCUUACAACCUGAUUUUUAAACUGUUUUGUUUAUUUAUUUAUUUAUUUUUCUCUCGUUUCAGGCUCAAUCAUCUGAUGUGCUCCAUUGUUUACGUAAGUGUUGUGCUUACUUUCAAGUGUAUCAUGUUUAUGACAAAGAAUUCAGUGAAUAAACGAUUUUAUUUUGUCAAUUAUUUUAAGCAAUAUUUUAAGAUGCAUCUUUUCUGAAGUGUAACAGGAGACAUUACUGAGAUCAUAUGCUUAGCUGUGAGUCCUUGUGUUCACAAAAAUGCUAUGGUGAAUGAAUGCACAAUAUUCACUUCUCUCUCUUUCUCUCUCUCUUUGCUUUUCUGCUUUUAGGCUCUUUGACAUAUCCCCUAAACAUGGCUCAAGAACCAGGAUGGGGGGGGGAUGACCUUCUGUGAAAUAUGGUUAUGUUAAUGUACUUUGACAUCAACCAUGAACACGGCUCAAGAAACAAGAAGGGAAAGUGACUUCCAAGACAAAAAACUUUUAGGCCUACUAUUUGUUUUUACUCCACAUUUGAAAAAAUGUUAAAUGUAAAUAAGAUUGCUGUAUUGUUCAUUGAUAACUGCUGAGUGCAUUUAAAAUGUUGACCUUUCAACAUUGCAAUUUUCUGCUUUUUUCCAUAAAAAAAAUAAUAAAAGUUUUAAAACUCAA
Long non-coding RNA from Megalobrama amblycephala (Wuchang bream), 1296 nucleotides. RefSeq lists it as uncharacterized. The record is from RefSeq and is a predicted model, not a curated record. The transcript is spliced from 2 exons. Lineage: Eukaryota; Metazoa; Chordata; Actinopteri; Cypriniformes; Xenocyprididae.